Molecule: long non-coding RNA, 498 nt
Filed under: Phoenix dactylifera (date palm)
Lineage: Eukaryota; Viridiplantae; Streptophyta; Magnoliopsida; Arecales; Arecaceae
Description: long non-coding RNA (PDAC_LNC000993)
Source: RNAcentral
CUUUUCAACGAAUAACCGAUGUAAAACUAAAUGCACUCCCGCACGGGUCCUCACAAAAACUGUUGUUCAUACUGAUCCACGUAUUAAUGUAAUAUGUGCAUAAACAACCAAAAACUGGAAAUCAGCCAUUUGCUCAAAAUUUUAUAUAUAUUUAUUACAUUCACAAGCAUUCAUUGGAAACCGAACCAUUUACACCAGAACAUGGAGAAGCAGCAUCUAGAUUUGGUGCAAGACUCAAAGUAACCAUGCAAGCAGAGAAGCCAUGGCCGCAAUGAUGGCCGGUGCAGCCAUUGCAGCCCAACCAGUAGUGGCACUUACCAUCAUUGGCAACGGGGCAAUGCUAUCCAACUCUUCUGUUGUGGUGGCAGCUCCAGAGUUCAGGAGGGCUAGACUGAAGAUGCUCAAGAGCAUAACCAGACUCAGGCGCCCCAUUGGCUUACUUCGGGUAUUGGAGAACUACAAAGAAAAGGAGGUUUGCAUGGGGAUGCAUUCAGCUGC